UGUCCAGUGGCACCUUAGAGACCAACUAAGUUUGUUCUGGGUAUAAGCUUUCGUGUGCAUGCACACUUCUUCAGAUACCCAGCUUAUACCCAGAACAAACUUAGUUGGUCUCUAAGGUGCUACUGGACA
Non-coding RNA from Podarcis lilfordi (Lilford's wall lizard), 129 nucleotides. NCBI's taxonomy places the organism in Eukaryota, Metazoa, Chordata, Lepidosauria, Squamata, Lacertidae. The record is from the annotation of a GenBank genome assembly.